This 460-nucleotide ribosomal RNA is filed under the name uncultured bacterium. RNAcentral's name for it is "partial 16S ribosomal RNA". It matches the Rfam family "Bacterial small subunit ribosomal RNA", at positions 338 to 795 of the family's 1533-position model. The record is from RNAcentral.
CCUACGGGAGGCAGCAGUGAGGAAUAUUGGUCAAUGGGCGCGAGCCUGAACCAGCCAAGUCGCGUGAGGGAUGACGGCCCUACGGGUUGUAAACCUCUUUUGCCGGGGAGCAACGGGCGCCACGUGUGGCGCCACUGAGAGUCCCCGGGGAAAAGGCAUCGGCUAACGCCGUGCCAGCAGCCGCGGUAAUACGGAGGAUGCGAGCGUUACCCGGUUUUAUUGGGUUUAAAGGGUGGGUAGGCGGAUCGUUAAGUCAGUGGGAAAAUUGGGGGGCUCAACCCCUUCCCGCCAUUGAUACUGGCGCUCUUGAGUGGAAGAGAGGUAUGCGGAAUGCGUGGUGUAGCGGUGAAAUGCAUAGAUAUCACGCAGAACCCCGAUUGCGAAGGCAGCAUGCCGGCUUCCGACUGACGCUGAAGCACGAAAGCGUGGGGAUCGAACAGGAUUAGAUACCCGAGUAGUC